GCCGGGGAUGAUAUAAUCCAAUUUAUUUGAGGUGUAGUGGAGCCAAGCCCUGUUUUACAGGGGAACCUACUUGGCAGAAGCUACAAUGCAUUGAUAUUACUGGAUUUAACUGAGGC
Molecule: small nucleolar RNA, 116 nt
Organism: Mangifera indica (mango)
Lineage: Eukaryota; Viridiplantae; Streptophyta; Magnoliopsida; Sapindales; Anacardiaceae
Product: small nucleolar RNA Z278
Exons: 1
Source: RefSeq, a predicted model, not a curated record